This 282-nucleotide long non-coding RNA is filed under the name Gallus gallus (chicken). RNAcentral describes it as "long non-coding RNA NONGGAT000032". The record is from RNAcentral. Lineage: Eukaryota; Metazoa; Chordata; Aves; Galliformes; Phasianidae.
GCGGACGGGCGGCGGCGUGGAACCCCUCGGGGAGCGCUGAGCCCCCCCGCCCGGCCCGGGACCACCGCCCAUGGAUCGACUGCUGCUGCUCUGCGCUGCUCUCGCCCUAUUUCUGCCCUAUAGCGCCUCCGACAGCGGUGCUCCAGGUUCCCCUCGUGGUGCCCACGCAGCACCCAUGCAUGCUCAGGAUCCCCUCGUGGUGUCCAGAGUGCACCUCAGUUGUCCCCCAGUGCGUGCCUGCAACACUCCCCCAGCAGCAUCCGUGGAAGCUGCGGUUGAUUU